AUACGGAGGGUGCAAGCGUUACUCGGAAUCACUGGGCGUAAAGCGCGCGCAGGCGGCCAUUUAAGUUGGAUGUGAAAGCCUACGGCUCAACCGUAGAACUGCAUCCAAAACUAUUUGGCUAGAGUGUGGGAGAGGAAGAUGGAAUUAGAUGUGUAGGGGUAAAAUCCGUAGAGAUAACUAGGAGUACCAAAAGCGAAGGCAAUCUUCUGGAACACUCCUGACGCUGAGGCGCGAAAGCGUGGGGAGCAAACGGGAUUAGAAACCCUAGUAGUCC
Molecule: ribosomal RNA, 274 nt
Filed under: uncultured bacterium
Lineage: Bacteria
Description: partial 16S ribosomal RNA
Rfam family: Bacterial small subunit ribosomal RNA
Source: RNAcentral